RNAcentral lists this ribosomal RNA (677 nucleotides) under uncultured archaeon. RNAcentral describes it as "bacterial SSU rRNA". It matches the Rfam family "Archaeal small subunit ribosomal RNA", at positions 322 to 999 of the family's 1478-position model. The record is from RNAcentral.
CCUAUGGGGUGCAGCAGUCGCGAAAACUUCACAAUGCACGAAAGUGUGAUGAGGGGAUUCUGAGUGCUCACGGUUUUCCGUGGGCUUUUCACUAGGGUAAAUACCUAGUGGAAUAAGUGGUGGGCAAGACUGGUGCCAGCCGCCGCGGUAACCCCAGCGCCACAAGUGGGAACCAUCAUUAUUGGGUCUAAAGCAUCCGUAGCCGGUUCAGCAAAUGCCCUGUGAAAUCGUUGUGCUCAACGCAACGGCGUGCAGGGUACACUACAGAACUAGAGACCAGGGGAAGGAGACAGUAUUCCAGAGGGAGCGGUAAAAUGUGAUAAUCUCUGGAGGACUAUCGAUGGCGAAGGCAGUCUCCUAAAAUGGAUCUGACGGUGAGGGAUGAAAGCCAGGGGAGCGAUCCGGAUUAGAUACCCGAGUAGUCCUGGCCGUAAACGCUGCAUGCCAGAUGUUGCACAAUCUCCGAGAUUGUGCAGUGUCGAAACGAAGGUGUUAAGCAUGCCACCUGGGAAGUACAGUCGCAAGAUCGAAACUUAAAGGAAUUGGCGGGGGAGCACCACAAGGGGUGCGGCGUGCGGUUUAAUCGAAUUCAACGCCGAGAAUCUCACCAGAGGCGCCGGCAGGAUGAAGCUCAGUCUGAAGGGCUUAGCUGACGAGCCGAGAGGAGGUGCAUGGCC